This 465-nucleotide ribosomal RNA is filed under the name uncultured bacterium. RNAcentral's name for it is "partial 16S ribosomal RNA". It matches the Rfam family "Bacterial small subunit ribosomal RNA", at positions 28 to 507 of the family's 1533-position model. The record is from RNAcentral.
GACGAACGCUGGCGGCGUGCUUAACACAUGCAAGUCGAACGGAAAGGCCCCUUUGGGGGUACUCGUGUGGCGAACGGGUGAGUAACACGGGAGUAACCGGCCCUUGACUUCGGGAUAACUUCAGGAAACUGGGGCUAAUACCGGAUAGGAAUCCUUGCUGCAUGGUGGGGGUUGGAAAGCUUCGGCGGUUUUGGAUGGACUCGCGGCUUAUCGGCUUGUUGGGGGGGUAGUGGCUUACCAAGGCUUUGACGGGUAGCCGGCCUGAGAGGGCGACCGGCCACAUUGGGACUGAGAUACGGCCCAGACUCCUACGGGAGGCAGCAGUGGGGAAUAUUGCACAAUGGGCGGAAGCCUGAUGCAGCAACGCCGCGUGCGGGAUGACGGCCUUCGGGUUGUAAACCGCUUUCAGCAGGGGCGAAGCUUGUGGUGACGGUACCUGCAGAAGAAGCACCGGCUAACUACGUG